GGCGGAAGAAUUAUGAAAGCUCCGAUGGUGGCAAAGAAAACUGAAUCAUUCCUUUGAGAUACUUGAUUUAGGUAAGCUUGUCUUCUAAUGUUUCUCUUCUGUGAAACAGUUAAGAACUUGGCACUAACUUUCUUCAAGUUUUUUUUACCCAAUGGAAUGCUGAAAUCAUUAUCUCCUUCUCCAACCAAUUGAGCCAGCUGCUCACGAAUUGUAAGUUUACCAGAACCACCAUCACUCUCAUAACCUGAUCAGUGAAGCAAGUAAAUUCUGACUAUUGCUGAUCUAAAAUGAAUGGAACAGAUUUGUAGAGAUAAAAUUCACAUACCAUCAGCGGAUGGGGUGGCAGAGGUGAGUUGUUCCAGGAGAUCGAGCUGUGUGCGUGUGGAAGACAGAGAC
Molecule: long non-coding RNA, 396 nt
Filed under: Populus trichocarpa (black cottonwood)
Lineage: Eukaryota; Viridiplantae; Streptophyta; Magnoliopsida; Malpighiales; Salicaceae
Description: long non-coding RNA (PTRI_LNC000565)
Source: RNAcentral